CCUAGCUGCGUCCCUAAGCUGUCCAUGGACCCUUGGGCAAGGUGGGCUUUUGGAAAAAAGGAGUUAAGUAGUUUCCCCAUGCUGUAAGAACUGGAAGACUCCAAAAGAGAAGGGUGAAUUCCAUGCUCCAAGACUGGUGGUAAUACAGAACUUUGCAAGAAGUUAUAGUGCUUGAAUAUUCCCAAUUAAAUAAUGAGCUUUGGAAGGUAUUCAUCUCCCCAAGAGUGA
Long non-coding RNA from Gymnogyps californianus (California condor), 228 nucleotides. RefSeq lists it as uncharacterized. The record is from RefSeq and is a predicted model, not a curated record. NCBI's taxonomy places the organism in Eukaryota, Metazoa, Chordata, Aves, Accipitriformes, Cathartidae. The transcript is spliced from 3 exons.